This 460-nucleotide ribosomal RNA is filed under the name uncultured bacterium. RNAcentral describes it as "partial 16S ribosomal RNA". It matches the Rfam family "Bacterial small subunit ribosomal RNA", at positions 338 to 795 of the family's 1533-position model. The record is from RNAcentral.
CCUACGGGAGGCUGCAGUGAGGAAUAUUGGUCAAUGGACGAGAGUCUGAACCAGCCAAGUAGCGUGAAGGAUGACUGCCCUAGGGGUUGUAAACUUCUUUUAUAUGGGAAUAAAACGUUCCACGUGUGGGAUUUUGUAUGUACCAUAUGAAUAAGGAUCGGCUAACUCCGUGCCAGCAGCCGCGGUAAUACGGAGGAUCCGAGCGUUAUCCGGAUUUAUUGGGUUUAAAGGGAGCGUAGGUUGAUUGUUAAGUCAGUUGUGAAAGUUUGCGGCUCAACCGUAAAAUUGCAGUUGAAACUGGCAGUCUUGAGUACAGUAGAGGUGGGCGGAAUUCGUGGUGUAGCGGUGAAAUGCUUAGAUAUCACGAAGAACUCCGAUUGCGAAGGCAGUUCACUGGACUGCAACUGACACUGAGGCUCGAAAGUGUGGGUAUCAAACAGGAUUAGAUACCCCGGUAGUC